Molecule: long non-coding RNA, 942 nt
Organism: Cydia strobilella
Lineage: Eukaryota; Metazoa; Arthropoda; Insecta; Lepidoptera; Tortricidae
Exons: 3
Source: RefSeq, a predicted model, not a curated record
UAAGAACUUAGGCCAGGAUUACACUCGCAAGUUUUACUUACGUAAGUAGAGAUAAAGCUAUUUGCUAGAAUGAGAUAACGAUAUCCAUAUCUCAUUCUGUAGUAUAGCUGUGUCCCUACUUACGUAAGUAAAACUUACGAGUGUACUCCUACUAAUCCUGGCCUAAGAACAUAGACAAAAUCUUUAAUGUCGAUGCUAUCAUUAAAGUCAUUGAACGCAAAAAAAAACAAAGUUUUCAUAUAAAACUAACGAUUUAUUUGCUUAGAAUAUUUUUAUUUAGUAGUUUUAAAAAUUAAAACUAAUCAUAUGCGCGAGCAACGUAUGCUUAAUGCGUCCUCGCACAGACUCGGUUAAAUUUAAACCGUUGUAGUAAUAAACCAGAAACAAUAAUUAUUUCAAGAGAGUAAAUCAACAGAUGGCUUGAGCGUGAGAUGAUAGUAUAACCCUGGACCGUCAUAUAUAAUAACUUUGAAAAAGCUCAAAGGGCAAGGAUCUGCCGUUCAUCCAGACCAACCCUGCCACCUACAUCAGCUGCUCUCUAUAAACAUGCACUUCGAGCAGCUUACCAAGAGGGCCAUAUAUGGGGAAACGCUCUGAAAGCAGAAGUUUCCAUACUAUGUACAUCUUUUUGGGGAUGGACUGAGGAAAAAGAGAGUUGGACUCCGGAAUGGUCGGCAGUUACAGCGAUUUGGUCUCAAUUAAGCCUCUUGGACCAUUGUGGCUGCAAAUCUGGCUGCGAAACUAUGCAUGGUGGGUGUCGUCGCGUCAGCUGGCCAUGCACAGCCCAGUGUAAAUCAUGCAAAUGUGGCUGUACAAAUCAAAAUUUUACAUCUACCGGUGAACCCGAAGAGGACAUUUAAGUUUUUUGUUUACAAAUGUAGUCACUUUAAAUAAAAAUAAUGCCCAAUUUUAGAUUUGUUAUAUUUUUUUGUAAUUCAGCAC